UACGGAGGGGGCUAGCGUUGUUCGGAAUUACUGGGCGUAAAGCGCACGUAGGCGGACCGGAAAGUCAGAGGUGAAAUCCCAGGGCUCAACCUUGGAACUGCCUUUGAAACUCCUGGUCUUGAGGUCGAGAGAGGUGAGUGGAAUUCCGAGUGUAGAGGUGAAAUUCGUAGAUAUUCGGAGGAACACCAGUGGCGAAGGCGGCUCACUGGCUCGAUACUGACGCUGAGGUGCGAAAGCGUGGGGAGCAAACAGG
Molecule: ribosomal RNA, 253 nt
Filed under: uncultured bacterium
Lineage: Bacteria
Also listed under: 3 other names
Description: partial 16S ribosomal RNA
Rfam family: Bacterial small subunit ribosomal RNA
Source: RNAcentral